ACUCCUACGGGAGGCAGCAGUGGGGAAUAUUGCACAAUGGGCGCAAGCCUGAUGCAGCCAUGCCGCGUGUGUGAAGAAGGCCUUCGGGUUGUAAAGCACUUUCAGUCGUGAGGAAGGUGUAGUGUUAAUAGCACUANCAUUUGACGUUAGCGACAGAAGAAGCACCGGGCUAACUCCGUGCCAGCAGCCGCGGUAAUACGGAGGGUGCGAGCGUUAAUCGGAAUUACUGGGCGUAAAGCGCAUGCAGGUGGUUUGUUAAGUCAGAUGUGAAAGCCC
RNAcentral lists this ribosomal RNA (276 nucleotides) under uncultured bacterium. Its description in RNAcentral is "partial 16S ribosomal RNA". It matches the Rfam family "Bacterial small subunit ribosomal RNA", at positions 335 to 603 of the family's 1533-position model. The record is from RNAcentral.